Molecule: ribosomal RNA, 301 nt
Filed under: uncultured bacterium
Lineage: Bacteria
Description: partial 16S ribosomal RNA
Rfam family: Bacterial small subunit ribosomal RNA
Source: RNAcentral
CAGCCGCCACGGUAACACCGAGGAUGCAAGCGUUAUCCGGAAUGAUUGGGCGUAAAGCGUCUGUAGGUGGCUUUUCAAGUCCGCCGUCAAAUCCCAGGGCUCAACCCUGGACAGGCGGUGGAAACUACCAAGCUGGAGUACGGUAGGGGCAGAGGGAAUUUCCGAUGGAGCGGUGAAAUGCAUUGAGAUCAGAAAGAACACCAACAGUGAAAGCACUCUGCUGGGCCGACACUGACACUAAGAGACGAAAGCUAGGGGAGCAAAUGGGAUUAGAGACCCCGGUAGUCCCUGUCUCUUAUAC